Pomacea canaliculata is the source of this 207-nucleotide long non-coding RNA. RefSeq lists it as uncharacterized. Lineage: Eukaryota; Metazoa; Mollusca; Gastropoda; Architaenioglossa; Ampullariidae. The record is from RefSeq and is a predicted model, not a curated record. The transcript has 3 exons.
AAAAAAGUCUUGUCUGGAAUGCAGUCCCCACAAUUUUCUCCAUUCCAAAUCCACCAUGCAAGGUAACUUCUUCAAGAAAGCGACCAAUGGACAGAAUAUCCAAACCUACCUCUGCAAAGCAGCCCAGGAUUUAACAGAAAGCUGUAGUCUUGCAAGAAGAACAAGCAGAUAUUGCAGUUGAGCCUUCAUGCUCUAUAACUGUGCCAG